Molecule: ribosomal RNA, 270 nt
Filed under: uncultured bacterium
Lineage: Bacteria
Description: partial 16S ribosomal RNA
Rfam family: Bacterial small subunit ribosomal RNA
Source: RNAcentral
CCGGCGACCGGCGCACGGGUGAGUAACACGUAUGCAACCUGGCCGUGACAGAUGGAUAACCGGGAGAAAUCCCGCCUAAUACAACAUAAUGCCGGGAGGGGACAUCCCCUGCCGGCCAAAGGGGGCGACCCCGGUCACGGAUGGGCAUGCGGCGCAUUAGGUAGUUGGUGGGGCAACGGCCCACCAAGCCGACGAUGCGUAGGGGUUCUGAGAGGAAGGUCCCCCACAUUGGGACUGAGACACGGCCCAGACUCCUACGGGAGGCAGCAG